Molecule: RNA transcript, 2424 nt
Organism: Trichoplusia ni (cabbage looper)
Lineage: Eukaryota; Metazoa; Arthropoda; Insecta; Lepidoptera; Noctuidae
Gene name: extensin
Exons: 11
Source: RefSeq, a predicted model, not a curated record
GGCAUCAUUCGCGGGCUGGAACUCGCAGCUGUCAGUGUUCGGUGCUCGGCUGGCGAACAGUGCGGGUUUAAGUUCAAGGACUAGUGUCAACCUCUUUUGUUUAUUUGCAUUAGGUGAGGGCGUCCAUUUCGCCGACUCGUGCGCAAGCAGUGGGCGGGCGCCGAGCGCGACUCAGUCAGAGACAGGCAUCGCCGCCGCUCGCACGAAUCUGAACGCCGCACAAGCGCUAAACGAACGACAAAAUGGCCACCGGCCCGAAGAUAGUCCACAAGCAGUUCAACUCGCCCAUCGGGCUGUACUCGCAGCAGAACAUCAAGGAGACGCUGGGCAAGCACUUGCAGAACCUCGGCAAUGGCACCGUCGGAAUUGACUUCAACAACCCCGGCACAGACAAGCCCGCCAACCUGGCCAACUCCGCCGUCCUGCGCAUGCUCGAGGAGGAAGAGCGCAACCGAAGAGGCUUACCCAAGCUAGACGAAACCCAAGUGCAAGCGAUAUUGGAGAACAUGGUGUACAUGCGCCAUCCUUUUGACAACAUCUGGCCUCCGGAAGGUUCCACAAAAUCAAGGCACAAAUGGCAGCUGACGUCUGGACAUACUCACUCGGAAUUCGUAAAGGCUACCAAAGGCCAGAAGAAAGUAGUUUGGCCACCGGUGCCUGAAACGAACGGAUACCAUCAAACUCCACAGCAACAGAGUCCUGCGUUCUACAACAACGCGCAGCAAUCCCCGGCGUCCCCUCAGCCCCAAUACCAGGCCCAACCCCAGCCCCAAUACCAGGCCCCACCCCAGCCCCAGCCCCAGUACCAGCAACAACCUGCUUACCAGCAACCCCAGUACCACCAGCAGCCCACCUCCCCCCAGCCCCAGUACCAAGCCCCCGAGUCUGAGCCCUCUUUCUGCGAGGGCAGACGUCAGGAGCCCACUGGGCUGAGCAAGCUGAUCCCGGUCGGUCCCGGUGUUACCGCUCCCUACCGCCCAGGCCCGCCGUCACCCGGCAUCGUGCCGCAGCCCUACCGCCAGCAGCAAAGCCGUUGGGCACCAGUACCAGCCCCUCUUUCCCCUCAGAUCCAAGGCUCGCAGCCAGGCUACCCGGGCGCGCAGUACUCGCCACAGCCGCAGUACUCGCCCUCGUACUCCGAGCCCUCGUACCAGGCCCCACAGAAGCCCUACGAGCCUCCCCCGGCGACCAUCACUCUCCGCCAGCAGCAGCCUGUUCACCAGAAACCUCCCCCGGUGUUCGCUAGUCAACCCGCCACAGCUUCAUUUCAAGGAGGCAUCAACAUGCGUGGAGACCAGAAGUGGCCCCCGCAGUCGGUGAAGGAGGCCGUGGCCGCUGAGAACGAGGCCAGGAGACAGCUGGCCAGAGGUCCUGCCUGCAGACCGCGCAAGCUGCGCCAAUAUACGCUUGCAGAAUUAGUUGGGAUCAACGACGCCUAGGCGUCGGUCCCUCAGUCCGUACGUAGUGUACGUAGGCGGACUUUAAUGCGUCAGGUGUAAACAAGGACUACUCUACCUUCUUCGCGCAGCACGCGCUGUCGCACAACUACCCCGGGUACCGCGCGCCGCCCGGCACGCAGCACUACGACGACAACUCGGGCCGAUCUUCGUACUAAACUAGAUCUUAGUAGUAACUAACAUGCCUAUCACAAGAAUAUACGUCAAGCAAGAAGUCACUUGUAACGCCAACGAAUAUUCUCAAUCAAAUUCAAUUUACUUUGUUGACGACUCGAAUGGAUAAGUGUCUACAACAGAAUGGGGGCAAAACAUUUUGUAGCGUCAACAAAAACACCAUCAUCUCAUCAAGUAGGUAAACAUCAAUCAAUUUAAUUGGUUAGCAUAAAGCGCGGAGAUUUGUAGUACUUGUAUAGACUUUAAGUGUUAAAGUCUUGAGGCAUGUACGGAUCGGUACUUAAUCGUAGGUUUAAUAUAUUUAUAACCAUUAAUUAGAAUUUAAGUAAAUAUAACAUAAAAAAAAACAAAAAAAAAAUUACAUUGUUCGUUCAAUUCAUGUCACUCUAAAACUUUAUACCAUUGUUAUCGUAAUUCUCAUUGUUUUCUGUGUAAAUGUGCGGCUUUAUAUAUUGCGAACGCAUCCGAAAGUUGCUUCUUGUAACUGUAAAUAAUGCUCAAUUACCAAUGUCAUAAACAGACUUUUUUAAUUGGAAAAACCUUGCAAUGAAAUGUAUAUAAACUACAAAAUUAACCUACUCAUAAGAAAGAAGUGUUUAUGAAAUUGGCUAUAGUAAAAUUCAAUGCUUUUGCCAAACUAUAGAUAUGUAUAACAUUAACAAAAUUGGCUGAGCUUACGUACCUACUAGUCAUGAAUACGAUUAUUUUUGUAUAUAAAAUGUUAAAUGCCCUUAUGAUUUGGUAUUUCACUAUAUAAUUAUAUUUUAAAUUAAAUAAAUUAUGUAAAAUGCCA